Molecule: ribosomal RNA, 468 nt
Filed under: uncultured bacterium
Lineage: Bacteria
Description: partial 16S ribosomal RNA
Rfam family: Bacterial small subunit ribosomal RNA
Source: RNAcentral
GACGAACGCUGGCGGCGUGCUUAACACAUGCAAGUCGAACGGAGAGUCCCUUCUUUUGUGGGGUGCUCGAGUUGCGAACUGGUGAGUAACCCUUUAGUACCCUGCCCUUCUCUUUGGGUUAACUUCAUGCAACUUGGGCUCAUACCGGGUAGGAUCUCCUGCUGCAUGGUCGGCGUUGGAUAGUUUCGGCGGUUGGGGAUGGACUCGCGGCUUAUCAGCUUGUUGGUGGGGUAGUGGCUUACCAAGGCUUUGACGGGUAGCCGGCCUGCGAGGGUCACCGGACACAUUGGGACUGAGAUAAGGCACAGACUACUACGGGAGGCAGGAGUGGGGAAGAGAGAAUAAGGGGCGGAAGCCUGAUGCAGUCAAGCCGCGUGGGGGAAGACGGGAUGGGGGUUGGAAACCGAUGUCGCCUGUGACGAAGAGUGAGUGACGGUAAUGGGUAAAGAAGCACCGGCUAACUACGUG